UUCCGGUUGAUCCUGCCGGAGGCCAUUGCUAUCGGAGUCCGAUUUAGCCAUGCUAGUUGCGCGGGUUAGACCCGCAGCGGAAAGCUCAGUAACACGUGGCCAAGCUACCCUGUGGAUGGGAACAAUCUCGGGAAACUGAGGCUAAUUCCCAAUAACGCUCCACCCCUGGAAUGGGUGGAGCCGGAAACGCUCCGGCGCCACAGGAUGCGGCUGCGGCCGAUUAGGUAGACGGUGGGGUAACGGCCCACCGUGCCCAUAAUCGGUACGGGUUGUGAGAGCAAGAGCCCGGAGACGGAAUCUGAGACAAGAUUCCGGGCCCUACGGGGCGCAGCAGGCGCGAAACCUUUACACUGUACGAAAGUGCGAUAAGGGGACUCCGAGUGUGAAGGCAUAGAGCCUUCACUUUUGUACACCGUAAGGUGGUGUACGAAUAAGGGCUGGGCAAGACCGGUGCCAGCCGCCGCGGUAAUACCGGCAGCCCGAGUGAUGGCCGAUAUUAUUGGGCCUAAAGCGUCCGUAGCUGGCCGGACAAGUCCGUUGGGAAAUCUGCUCGCUUAACGAGCAGGCGUCCAGCGGAAACUGUUCGGCUUGGGACCGGAAGACCUGAGGGGUACGUCCGGGGUAGGAGUGAAAUCCCGUAAUCCUGGACGGACCACCGGUGGCGAAAGCGCCUCAGGAAGACGGAUCCGACAGUGAGGGACGAAAGCUAGGGUCUCGAACCGGAUUAGAUACCCGGGUAGUCCUAGCUGUAAACGAUGCCCGCUAGGUGUGGCGCAGGCUACGAGCCUGCGCUGUGCCGUAGGGAAGCCGAGAAGCGGGCCGCCUGGGAAGUACGUCUGCAAGGAUGAAACUUAAAGGAAUUGGCGGGGGAGCACUACAACCGGAGGAGCCUGCGGUUUAAUUGGAUUCAACGCCGGAGGGGGAGCACUACAACCGGAGGAGCCUGCGGUUUAAUUGGAUUCAACGCCGGA
This 971-nucleotide ribosomal RNA is filed under the name uncultured archaeon. Its description in RNAcentral is "bacterial SSU rRNA". It matches the Rfam family "Archaeal small subunit ribosomal RNA", at positions 1 to 967 of the family's 1478-position model. The record is from RNAcentral.